GGGCGUUAAGUUGCAGGGUAUAGACCCGAAACCCGGUGAUCUAGCCAUGGGCAGGUUGAAGGUUGGGUAACACUAACUGGAGGACCGAACCGACUAAUGUUGAAAAAUUAGCGGAUGACCUGUGGCUGGGGGUGAAAGGCCAAUCAAACCGGGAGAUAGCUGGUUCUCCCCGAAAGCUAUUUAGGUAGCGCCUCGUGAACUCAUCUUCGGGGGUAGAGCACUGUUUCGGCUAGGGGGCCAUCCCGGCUUACCAACCCGAUGCAAACUGCGAAUACCGAAGAAUGUUAUCACGGGAGACACACGGCGGGUGCUAACGUCCGUCGUGAAGAGGGAAACAACCCAGACCGCCAGCUAAGGUCCCAAAGUCAUGGUUAAGUGGGAAACGAUGUGGGAAGGCCCAGACAGCCAGGAUGUUGGCUUAGAAGCAGCCAUCAUUUAAAGAAAGCGUAAUAGCUCACUGGUCGAGUCGGCCUGCGCGGAAGAUGUAACGGGGCUAAACCAUGCACCGAAGCUGCGGCAGCGACACU
Molecule: ribosomal RNA, 527 nt
Filed under: Cronobacter muytjensii
Lineage: Bacteria; Pseudomonadati; Pseudomonadota; Gammaproteobacteria; Enterobacterales; Enterobacteriaceae
Description: partial 23S ribosomal RNA
Rfam family: Bacterial large subunit ribosomal RNA
Source: RNAcentral